Molecule: long non-coding RNA, 349 nt
Filed under: Mustela putorius furo (domestic ferret)
Lineage: Eukaryota; Metazoa; Chordata; Mammalia; Carnivora; Mustelidae
Description: lncRNA (ENSMPUG00000029465.1)
Source: RNAcentral
CUUUGCCCUUGUGAAAAUUGCCUGCUGUUUUAUCCCACUGAAUCGAAGUGUUGGGGAGAAGACAAAUGUCACAUCUAAUUCAGUCAACAGUUACAUAAAAGAAACUACAGUGAAGUCUCUUGUCAAGAUUCCCCUGCUUCCUCCACCUCUGCCUCCUGACGGUCCCAGAUGCUUCCAGGUGUGGGCCCCAUGCGAUGGCAUGCCCCUCCCCUUGGAGACUGGUGAGCCCAAAGGAGGAGGCCGAGUCCAGGGCCAUCUUGCUGAAAGCUAGAACUAUGGUGGGUCCGCCCAGCUGGAGUUGACCAUGAAGGGAGGGGCUCCAUUGUCCAUGACACCCCCUGAAGCAGAG